CCUACGGGUGGCAGCAGUGGGGAAUAUUGCGCAAUGGGCGAGAGCCUGACGCAGCGACGCCGCGUGAGGGAUGACGGUCUUCGGAUCGUAAACCUCUGUCAGCAGGGAAGUACGGUCACUGUGCUAAUCAUCAGUGAAUUGACGGUACCUGCAAAGGAAGCCCCGGCUAACUCCGUGCCAGCAGCCGCGGUAAUACGGAGGGUGCGAGCGUUGAUCGGAAUUACUGGGCGUAAAGCGCUCGUAGGCGGUAUGUCAAGUCAAGGGUGAAAUCCCCGGGCUCAACGUGGGAACUGCCUUUGAUACUGGCAAACUGGAGUGUGUGAGAGGAUAGUGGAAUUCGAGGUGUAGGAGUGAAAUGCGUAGAUAUCUGGAGGAACAUCAGUGGCGAAGGCGACUAUCUGGCACAUAACUGACGCUGAGGAGCGAAAGCGUGGGUAGCAAACAGGAUUAGAUACCCCAGUAGUC
This 465-nucleotide ribosomal RNA is filed under the name uncultured bacterium. Its description in RNAcentral is "partial 16S ribosomal RNA". It matches the Rfam family "Bacterial small subunit ribosomal RNA", at positions 338 to 795 of the family's 1533-position model. The record is from RNAcentral.